UUACUUACCUGGCAGGGGAGAUACUAUGAUCAUGAAGAUGGUUUUCCAGGGCCAGGCUUAUCUAUUGCACUUCAGAUGUGCUGACCCCUGCCUGACAUUUCCCCAAAUGUGGGAAAUUCGACUGUAUAAUUUGUGGUAGUGGGGGACUGUGUUAGUUCUCUCCACUG
Dipodomys spectabilis (banner-tailed kangaroo rat) is the source of this 167-nucleotide small nuclear RNA. RefSeq annotates it as U1 spliceosomal RNA. The transcript has a single exon. The record is from RefSeq and is a predicted model, not a curated record. Lineage: Eukaryota; Metazoa; Chordata; Mammalia; Rodentia; Heteromyidae.